UUGAUCCUGCCGGACCUGACUGCUAUCGGAUUGGUACUAAGCCAUGCGAGUCAUUGUAGCAAUACAAGGCGGACGGCUCAGUAACACGUAGUCAACCUAACUCGUGGACGUGGAUAACCUCGGGAAACUGAGAAUAAACCACGAUAGAUCAUAGUGCCUGGAAUGGCUUAUGGUCCAAACAGUUUACUGCCAUGGGAUGGGACUGCGGCCUAUCAGCUUGUUGGUGAGGUAAUGGCCCACCAAGGCGAUUACAGGUACGGGCUCUGAGAGGAGAAGCCCGGAGAUGGGUACUGAGACACGGACCCAGGCCCUAUGGGGCGCAGCAGGCGAGAAACCUUAGCAAUGUGCGAAAGCACGACUGGGUCAGUCCGAGUGAUUCCUGAUAAAGGAGUCUUUUGCCUGUCCUAAAAGCACAGGUGAAUAAGGGGUGGGCAAGUCUGGUGUCAGCCGCCGCGGUAAUACCAGCACCUCGAGUGGUCAGGACGUUUAUUGGGCCUAAAGCAUCCGUAGCCGGCUUUGCAAGUCUUCGGUUAAAUCCACCUGCUCAACAGAUGGGCCGCUGGAGAUACUACAGAGCUAGGGAGUGGGAGAGGCAGACGGUAUUCAGUGGGUAGGGGUAAAAUCCUCUGAUCCAUUGAGGACCACCAGUGGCGAAGGCGGUCUGCCAGAACACGUUCGACGGUGAGGGAUGAAAGCUGGAGGAGCAAACCGGAUUAGAUACCCGGGUAGUCCCAGCUGUAAACGAUGCAAACUCGGUGAUGCAUUGGCUUAUGGCCAAUGCAGUGCCGCAGGGAAGCCGUUAAGUUUGCCGCCUGGGAAGUACGGACGCAAGUCUGAAACUUAAAGGAAUUGGCGGG
RNAcentral lists this ribosomal RNA (857 nucleotides) under uncultured archaeon. RNAcentral describes it as "bacterial SSU rRNA". It matches the Rfam family "Archaeal small subunit ribosomal RNA", at positions 8 to 872 of the family's 1478-position model. The record is from RNAcentral.